CCUCUUCAAGAAUUCACAAAACAUUAUAGAGAGUCUUUUUUUCUCUCUCUAAAACACCUAGCUAGUGAGAGAAAGUAUUAGCUUAAGACUUUAGAGGGUUUUUAAGGUGAAAGAGUAAAAGAGCACAAAAGGCUUGUGAAAAGGUGCACAAAAGCAUGAAAUUUGAGACUAACUUGAGAAAGUUAUGGAAGCUUGAAGAGAACUCCCAUGGAAAAUGAAGAAAUGUGAGAUGAAAAGAAAGAUGGG
RNAcentral lists this long non-coding RNA (246 nucleotides) under Theobroma cacao (cacao). RNAcentral describes it as "long non-coding RNA (TCAC_LNC006389)". The record is from RNAcentral. Lineage: Eukaryota; Viridiplantae; Streptophyta; Magnoliopsida; Malvales; Malvaceae.